RNAcentral lists this small nuclear RNA (289 nucleotides) under Neogale vison (American mink). RNAcentral describes it as "Neovison vison (American mink) 7SK RNA (ENSNVIG00000006081.1)". It matches the Rfam family "7SK RNA". From Rfam's summary of the family: 7SK was discovered as an abundant small nuclear RNA in the mid-70s but a possible function has only recently been suggested. Two independent studies have found that 7SK RNA binds the CDK9/cyclin T complex (known as elongation factor P-TEFb). Lineage: Eukaryota; Metazoa; Chordata; Mammalia; Carnivora; Mustelidae. The record is from RNAcentral.
GUAAGGGUGAUCUGACUGCAGCAUAGGUCACUCCACUGAUAGCCAGAGCUGAGCCAGCUCACCAGGUACAUGUGUCCCUCUUGAAGCUGCAAGCUCUCUUGAUUGAAGGGGAUGAAGUUCCCUCAGAGAAGAGCACCGUUUCUUUAGUCAGGGGUAUAGCAAGGAGCUGCACUCCCCUUCUAGAACCCUCAAACAAGCUCCCAAGGUCCAUCUGUAGAAGAAUGCAGGGUAGUCAAACUUCCAAGACUCCAGACACAACUCAUUGUUAGAUGGUGCCUAAGACAUUCUG